Hirundo rustica (Barn swallow) is the source of this 1979-nucleotide long non-coding RNA. RefSeq lists it as uncharacterized. The transcript has 2 exons. The record is from RefSeq and is a predicted model, not a curated record. Lineage: Eukaryota; Metazoa; Chordata; Aves; Passeriformes; Hirundinidae.
CUCAUUCUCUCUCUCUCUCCUUCUUUCCUGUUCUGAUUCUCAGGUGGGAGAAGCCUUCAUUUCCCUGAGGUGGGUUCUGAAUUGCUGCUUUGGACCAGACCCUUCUCAAGCAGAGGCUCAGAGCUGUGAAGUGCUCAGCACCGUCCCCAGCCCUUUCCUCUGGAGCUGCUCCACAAGCCAGGGCACAGCCAGGAGCCGUGCUGGGCAGAGGGAAGAUCUGGUCCGAAGAGCACCACCUCCCCUCCCUGCAGGGCGUUAACAAAGCUCUAAUGCAUACGGACGACUUUGUGUGGCUAAAAAGGAGUAAGAAUUCUGAGUCCAUGUAAAUACAUUUAUUGUAGGAGAUUUUCAUGUGAACAUUGAUGUAAAAAGACAGCUUCAGCUGAUAAAGAUUUUUUUUGUGGUCAUACUCUUAAUAAAGAGUUGUGCUGGUUUUGCACCCGUCACAAGAGUAUUUAAAGAACUGUGAGCAUUUUUUGGCAUUGUACUGACAGUGUUGAUACAAUUUCCAUGUGUUUUAUUUGUUAUUAGAGUGUUCCUUUAUUCCUGCCCCUCAGGUAGAUGUGACAACAUUACUGGCUGAUAACAGUAAUUUUCAAUUGUAAUUACAGUACCCAACCAUGACAUACAGUUUCUGCAUGAUAUGUCCUUAUAAUUCAAGGAUUUUGCAAACAGACACAACAGAUUGUGGAGCUCUUGCAGUACGUGACAGAGGAGAUGCUGUCACUCUGUGUUACUUAUUUCUGCCUCUCUUUGGCAUGGUGAUCUCUUUUACAUAAACCAAAGCGGAAAAUAUUACCCCUGUUCUUGUUAAAAAGAUUGUCCAUAUUUGUUGGUAUACAAACCUAUUGAAUGUUUGAGGGGUGAUGGGGACACAGAUCAUUAAGUUUAAACAAAGAACAGCAAUAUUUGUCAAUGUAAAGAGAAGAAAGCAUAGGAACGAAUUAUGUCUAUAUUAUGUGCUUUUGAGAAUUCCUUAUGCACCCAGAAGUCCUGAUGCUGCUGCUUCUGCUUGCCUUGAAGACCUUCAGCUGUAGAAGCUUUUUUGAAAAACCAGUGAACUUUGAAGUCUAUAAAACCAGAAAUGCACAUCUGUUUGUAUGAUAGGACCUCCCUGAAUGCUACAACUGGAUGCCAUGUGGAGAACGCUUAGCUGAACAAGGAAACAUUUCAGAUACUGAGGAGAAGGUAAAUAUUCUCUGUCCUGAAGGGCUUUUCCCCUUGGUUUAUUAGAAUUGUCCAUUUUAAACUACAGGAGCCGGGACAAUUUGCAAAAACGCAAAUAAACUUACCCACUUUCAUCUUUCCAUUCAUUGUAACCUGCCAGGCUGUGCCAGUGAAUGGCUCAGCCCCACUGAGUAUUUCAGAUUGCUCAAUGCAGUGAGCUUUUCAGUGCUUCUUAAAUGUUAGAAGUAGCUAGUGAUCAGACUGAAAGGGAUUCCUGUUGUGAAUUAGCCAGCAUCCCUAUUUUAUAGCCUGCCACUAAGGAUUGCAAUAUCGUAUUUCUCAGAUUAUUACAAGUGCAGUUGUGAGGUGGUGAGAGAAUAGCAGAGGUCAAGGGUGGAAGCUAGAUUCUAGUUCUGUUGGAGGAAGAGCUCAGUUGCAGAGUGCCAUAAUCAGAUAAUGUUCUGUAGCUGAAUUACACUGAGAUUAUGCCUUGAGGAUGAAUAUUUGAAAUAAGAGGACUUGGGUUUCCUAUACCCUUUUUUAUCUAUUAGCAGUGCUUACUAUAUGUUGAUUUCCCUAAUUGUAACUAUUUCCCAGGCCAUGACUUGACUCUCAAGUCACUCUGAUUAGUAUGAUCUUGGUCAUUGUAACAGGGGAAACUUAAAGUUUGGAAACAGCAAGAGAUACCUGCUUGUUUUUCUCAUGUUUGUGGUACUUGGUUUUGUAUUAACUGUUCUGAAGUAAUCUCUUCUCCCCUGUAUCUAAUAAAGUGAGUGAAUUACUCAACACUGAAAACACUGCAUGGAAGUAUG